UACAAAAAUAGUUAAAUACUAAUUAAACACAGUAAUCAUAACCUCGCGGCGUUCCUUCUAGAAUAAGUGAGUCUACUACUACGCUGCAGGUCACUCCUUGAUGGGUGGCAAUCAAGGCUACCAUCACCUUUCGAUUAUUACGUGACGCCAUUUUUGACCUCUUGUUGAACUGAGAGCGAGGGUGUGAUGGAUUGUUUUGCCCGCAAGACCAGCCAUAUCCUAUUCCACCAAUCACUCCCCACACGACAUCUACUUCAUAUCUAACCAUUCGGUCAGUAUCUAUUUAAUGAUAGAAAGGAAAAUCUGGAGGAGAUUUGGACCAGCUGGCGGAAAAGCAUCCAAAAGAAAGCAAUAUGAAGCUGGGCUGGAACUAUCUUUCUAUCAACAAUCUGCUGGAAUCUUCGGAUAGAAAAAGAAUAAUCGUGCAUU
RNAcentral lists this long non-coding RNA (429 nucleotides) under Elaeis guineensis (African oil palm). RNAcentral describes it as "long non-coding RNA (EGUI_LNC013518)". Lineage: Eukaryota; Viridiplantae; Streptophyta; Magnoliopsida; Arecales; Arecaceae. The record is from RNAcentral.